RNAcentral lists this ribosomal RNA (617 nucleotides) under Klebsiella michiganensis. Its description in RNAcentral is "partial 23S ribosomal RNA". It matches the Rfam family "Bacterial large subunit ribosomal RNA", at positions 911 to 1530 of the family's 2925-position model. Lineage: Bacteria; Pseudomonadati; Pseudomonadota; Gammaproteobacteria; Enterobacterales; Enterobacteriaceae. The record is from RNAcentral. RNAcentral also lists the same sequence under 1 other name.
UGUUUCGGCUAGGGGGUCAUCCCGACUUACCAACCCGAUGCAAACUACGAAUACCGAAGAAUGUUAUCACGGGAGACACACGGCGGGUGCUAACGUCCGUCGUGAAGAGGGAAACAACCCAGACCGCCAGCUAAGGUCCCAAAGUCAUGGUUAAGUGGGAAACGAUGUGGGAAGGCCCAGACAGCCAGGAUGUUGGCUUAGAAGCAGCCAUCAUUUAAAGAAAGCGUAAUAGCUCACUGGUCGAGUCGGCCUGCGCGGAAGAUGUAACGGGGCUAAACCAUGCACCGAAGCUGCGGCAGCGACACUAUGUGUUGUUGGGUAGGGGAGCGUUCUGUAAGCCGUUGAAGGUGGCCUGUGAGGGUUGCUGGAGGUAUCAGAAGUGCGAAUGCUGACAUAAGUAACGAUAAUGCGGGUGAAAAACCCGCACGCCGGAAGACCAAGGGUUCCUGUCCAACGUUAAUCGGGGCAGGGUGAGUCGACCCCUAAGGCGAGGCCGAAAGGCGUAGUCGAUGGGAAACAGGUUAAUAUUCCUGUACUCGGUGUUACUGCGAAGGGGGGACGGAGAAGGCUAUGUUGGCCGGGCGACGGUUGUCCCGGUUUAAGCAUGUAGGCGGAUG